RNAcentral lists this ribosomal RNA (253 nucleotides) under uncultured bacterium. RNAcentral's name for it is "partial 16S ribosomal RNA". It matches the Rfam family "Bacterial small subunit ribosomal RNA", at positions 524 to 776 of the family's 1533-position model. The record is from RNAcentral.
UACGUAGGGUGCGAGCGUUAAUCGGAAUUACUGGGCGUAAAGCGUGCGCAGGCGGUUUUGUAAGCCAGAUGUGAAAUCCCCGGGCUUAACCUGGGAAUGGCAUUUGGGACUGCAAGGCUUGAGUGCGGCAGAGGAGACUGGAAUUCCUGGUGUAGCAGUGAAAUGCGUAGAUAUCAGGAGGAACACCGAUGGCGAAGGCAGGUCUCUGGGCUGUCACUGACGCUCAUGCACGAAAGCGUGGGGAGCAAACAGG